RNAcentral lists this ribosomal RNA (465 nucleotides) under uncultured bacterium. Its description in RNAcentral is "partial 16S ribosomal RNA". It matches the Rfam family "Bacterial small subunit ribosomal RNA", at positions 338 to 795 of the family's 1533-position model. The record is from RNAcentral.
CCUACGGGAGGCAGCAGUGGGGAAUAUUGCGCAAUGGGCGAAAGCCUGACGCAGCGACGCCGCGUGAGGGAUGAAGGUCUUCGGAUCGUAAACCUCUGUCAGCAGGGAAGAACGGUCACUGUGCUAAUCAGCAGUGAAUUGACGGUACCUGCAAAGGCAGCACCGGCUAACUCCGUGCCAGCAGCCGGGGUAGUACGGCGGGUGUGAGCGUUAAUCGGAAUUGCUGGGCGUAAAGCGCUCGUAGGCGGUAGGUCAAGUCAAGGGUGAAAUCCCCGGGCUCAACGUGGGAACUGCCUUUGAAACUGGCAAACUGGAGUGUGGGAGAGGAUAGUGGAAUUCCAGGUGUAGGAGUGAAAUCCGUAGAUAUCUGGAGGAACAUCAGUGGCGAAGGCGACUAGCUGGAACAUAACUGACGCUGAGGAGCGAAAGCGUGGGUAGCAAACAGGAUUAGAUACCCUAGUAGUC